ACCGUACUCCUACGGGAGGCAGCAGUGGGGAAUUUUGGACAAUGGGCGCAAGCCUGAUCCAGCCAUGGCGCGUGUCUGAAGAAGGCCUUCGGGUUGUAAAGGACUUUUGUCAGGGAAGAAAAGGGCGGGGUUAAUACCCCUGUCUGAUGACGGUACCUGAAGAAUAAGCACCGGCUAACUACGUGCCAGCAGCCGCGGUAAUACGUAGGGUGCGAGCGUUAAUCGGAAUUACUGGGCGUAAAGCGGGCGCAGACGGUUACUUAAGCAGGAUGUGAAAUCCCCGGGCUCAACCUGGGAACUGCGUUCUGAACUGGGUGACAAGAGUGUGUCAGAGGGAGGUAGAAUUCCACGUGUAGCAGUGAAAUGCGUAGAGAUGUGGAGGAAUACCGAUGGCGAAGGCAGCCUCCUGGGAUAACACUGACGUUCAUGCCCGAAAGCGUGGGUAGCAAACAGGAUUAGAAACCCGUGUAGUCCUUGAC
RNAcentral lists this ribosomal RNA (479 nucleotides) under uncultured bacterium. RNAcentral describes it as "bacterial SSU rRNA". It matches the Rfam family "Bacterial small subunit ribosomal RNA", at positions 330 to 801 of the family's 1533-position model. The record is from RNAcentral.